UGCAGGGGACGCUGCCAGCCCUGGGCGCCUGCGGGAGCUGCCACUUCAGCCAGGGCCGUGUGGGCUAUGAACAGAUCCCAUCGAGUUCGCCUGCUGCUUUGGUGAGGCCAGUUCCCUAUCGACACAGGUGGAGCUCCCUUGCCUGAAGUCGCCAGGAAGAUGUAGUCAGAGAAUGUGGUAUUCAACUACACGGCCACUCAAUUCACUGAACAGGAACAACGAGCAGUUCACUCGGCAACCGUGGCCAGAAAGAGGGAUGAUUUUAGUCCCUGUGAGUUUGACGAGAGCCAACCUUCAAGUGAUGUCACAGUGUCUCGCAGCUGAUGAUUCCUUCUGCCAGAGGCAACUGCCCAGCGUAAGUGGGAACCAGUGCCAUUCUUUGUGAAGAAGCAAGCCCUCCCAUUGCCGUAGCGAAAUUAACGAGUGUUGCAUACGCCUGUACA
Dermacentor andersoni is the source of this 443-nucleotide long non-coding RNA. RefSeq lists it as uncharacterized. The record is from RefSeq and is a predicted model, not a curated record. NCBI's taxonomy places the organism in Eukaryota, Metazoa, Arthropoda, Arachnida, Ixodida, Ixodidae.